This is a long non-coding RNA of Aphidius gifuensis, 651 nucleotides long. RefSeq lists it as uncharacterized. The transcript has 3 exons. Lineage: Eukaryota; Metazoa; Arthropoda; Insecta; Hymenoptera; Braconidae. The record is from RefSeq and is a predicted model, not a curated record.
CCCACUAUUUGUCAUAAAACAAGAGUGGGAAUAAAUGCGCAUGCGUGGUGUGCACUUUUAAAAUUCGGUGAGCUUCGGUUAAAAAGAAAAGAAGAGCAAUUAAAAAAAAAAAGAAAGAAGACAUGACAGGAAAAAAAUAUGUCGUCACCUGUCAAAACUUGACAGCAGCAUCUGGUUCAAUUCAAUUUCAUCCCGUAUUUAUAAUUUAUUUAGUGUGAUUUAGUGUAAAAAAAUAUUGUUUAUCAUUUUGUUGGUUAUGUUGUGUAAAUACACAACUGUCAAAAUAAAAUAUAAUUUUAUUCCUGGUUCUGAUACAAUUAUUUAAUGCUGGUGCAUUCAGUGGUAUAUUUACAACAGUAUAUUGGCACCUGGUGAAAGAAUCAAACGUUUAUUACAAGUUCAACACAAUCAAGGAACCUCAACUUACAAUGGACCUGUUGAUUGUGCAAAAAAAUUGUAUAAACAAGGUGGUAUACGUAGUAUAUACAAAAGAACUGGACUAAUAUUAUUAAGAGAUAUACCAACAAUAUUUGCUGGUGGAUGUGCUGGUAUUACAAAUUGGAUUGUUGCUAUGCCACCUGAUGUUUUAAAGAGUCGAUUCCAAGCUGCACCUGAAGGAACAUACAAGUUAUUGAUAAUGAUGAAUAAAAC